UAUUUAGCGGUGUCUCUGCCAAUGAAAUGGCUGGAAUGGAAUGAGCCUACGCUUGAUUUGGGACAAGCUAUUGAGAAUGACAAGUCGGGGAUCCCUCGACUAAGAAGAAUCUUUGAGAGACGAAACUAAGUCUGGUUGCCAAGGCGUUUGCUGGUGCUACUGCUAUUGUAUUCGGUGGUGCCACCUUGGCAUUUGGAUUGGCAGCCUCAAAGCUGGAACUGCACAAUGCUGAUGAUAUACGGACCAAAGGAAAAGACAUUAUUCAUCCAAGAUUAGAAGCAGUCAAGGAGCAACUGAGUCCCUUCAGAACUUGGGCGGAAGACACGUCGAAGAAAUGGCAUUUGGAAAGGGGAGAAGACUAUAAAGAGAAGCCUCUGAUAAAGGAGCUUUCCAAAAUACUUGGUGCAAACUGCAAAGCCAUCCAGCUAACUCUGUUAAAAGAUUUUGUGUAAAUACUAAAUAGAUAGAAUUCUGUAAUAGUGCACCUGUUGGUUGUUACCCUGGAAAUAAGAUGUUUGCUGUUGUUGUUGUUGUGCUAGUAGUAGCUUUUGAUAAGUAAAUCCUAUACAUUUUUUCUUAUGGGACAAUUCUUGAUGUAACUUAGAAUGAUUUGGUUGAUAGCUGAUUUACUA
Long non-coding RNA from Ipomoea nil (Japanese morning glory), 632 nucleotides. RefSeq lists it as uncharacterized. Lineage: Eukaryota; Viridiplantae; Streptophyta; Magnoliopsida; Solanales; Convolvulaceae. The transcript is spliced from 4 exons. The record is from RefSeq and is a predicted model, not a curated record.